AAGGACCUGAGAGUGGCCUCUAAGAGCUAAGAACAGUCCCCAGCUGAGAGUGGAGCUCAAUCCUACAGCCACAAUGAACUGAAUCCUACCAACAACUUGAAUGAACUUAGGAGAAGAUUCUUCCCAGAGCUUGUAGAAAUAUACAACAGAAGCAAGCACCAUCAUCUCUGUUCAUAGAAAAAGUAAUGCUUAUGGAAUGAGUAUGAAUUUUGGAGGUGAUAGAAAUUCUAUAAGGACAAAGAAAAUUGAGGGAAGAUGUCUGAAUGAAGGACUCUUCUACUGCAUGUUGGACAGCUAAAAGCUACUUCAGGAUCUCUAAUAGAGGUGUAAGUGUUGAAAAGCUCAUUCCGUGAUGUCUAAAUAUGCACUUUCAUUACUCUCCUUUUGAUAGAUUCUUAUCCUUUAUAACCUAGAUUUUAUUUGUGCUAUGUGUAUAGUUUUUCACUCAUGUCAACCUAUCAGUGGGAGAGCUCUCUUAAACCUGUAUGGUCAAAAUACAGUUCAGAACAUAUACAUCCAAGAUACCUAGGAGACAUGACAUUUUACUCCAGAUACGUAUGAGAAUAGA
Manis pentadactyla (Chinese pangolin) is the source of this 568-nucleotide long non-coding RNA. RefSeq lists it as uncharacterized. The record is from RefSeq and is a predicted model, not a curated record. NCBI's taxonomy places the organism in Eukaryota, Metazoa, Chordata, Mammalia, Pholidota, Manidae. The transcript has 3 exons.